GUGAGUGGGCUUGGUUUUCUUGAGACCCAGAAUGUUCGUUUCUGUCAGAGAUAAAGGCACGGACUUGAUUCUCCCUGCUGUGGGCGGGGCCAGGCCGGUGUGGCUGCGGGCCGGAGCCCGCGGAUGCGCGCGCCCGCCACCGGGGGCCGGCCUGGGCAGGCUGCCGCGGGGAGCGGCCCCCCGUGCUCUUUCUCAGGGACCCGGAGCUGGGUCUGCAGGUCCUAGUUGAGAAGCAUUGGUUUAAGUUUGCUUGCGUGGUGACCUUGAGCCAUUUCGAUUUGGGACGGGAGGCUGCAGGCCCUGAACUUGAGUGGCUGUGGGGUGGCAUGCCCGGGUGAGCCUGAGGCCUUCACGUGACUGGAAGUUCCACGGAAGUCAAGGGAGCAGGAAGUGCUUGUGGAGGAGAGGGCAGCAGCAGCGGUGAACUGCCCUUGUUAUUACAGCGCUGCCUGUCAGAAUCGCCAGCGUCCGCAGCACUUGAACCUGAGGGCAAGCAGAGCGUUUGUGAAAGGCACGAAUGGCUAAAUGUCCACUGAGAGGCACAGAGAGGGGCCGCCUCAUGCUUAGGCAGAAGAAAUGGCCCCAUAAAAUGCCCCUGUCCCCUCCCUGCGACAGUGUAGUCACAGGCAAGCUCCUGCCCCGGAACCGCAGCUCCUGGAAUGCCAGCGAGGAGAGUCAUGCUUCCAGGGAGAGCAGUCGCUGUCUCCAGAGUCUUAUUUUGAAAUGCAAAUACCCUGGCGAGGGUAAUAAAUACCCUGCCAUGUGACAAGGUGAGCCAAAACUGAAGAGGCGGGAGGGGCUGAGGUG
RNAcentral lists this long non-coding RNA (807 nucleotides) under Equus caballus (horse). RNAcentral describes it as "lncRNA (ENSECAG00000046759.1)". The record is from RNAcentral. Lineage: Eukaryota; Metazoa; Chordata; Mammalia; Perissodactyla; Equidae.